This 826-nucleotide small RNA is filed under the name Pan troglodytes (chimpanzee). Its description in RNAcentral is "retained intron". Lineage: Eukaryota; Metazoa; Chordata; Mammalia; Primates; Hominidae. The record is from RNAcentral.
UGCUUGUUCCGCGGGUGAUUGGCUUUUUUUUUGGCAAACCAGUUAUUAAAGUUUCUGGUCUUUAAAAAACUCUGUGGCGGUACGGUAGCCGAGGAGGUUCCAGCGCGGCGGAAGUACCCCGCGGGUGGGUGUGUGCGCGAGGCCAGGGCCAGAGGGGCACGUGGCGCCGGGAGGAGAAUGUCUUUUCGAGGCGGAGGUCGUGGAGGCUUUAAUCGAGGUGGUGGAGGUGGCGGCUUCAACCGAGGCGGCAGCAGCAACCACUUCCGAGGUGGAGGCGGCGGUGGAGGCGGCGGCAGUUUCAGAGGCGGCGGCAGGGGAGGAUUUGGACGAGGGCGUGGCCGCGGAGGCUUUAACAAAGGCCAAGACCAAGGACCUCCAGAACGUGUAGUCUUAUUAGGAGAGUUCCUGCAUCCCUGUGAAGAUGACAUAGUUUGUAAAUGUACCACAGAUGAAAAUAAGGUGCCUUAUUUCAAUGCUCCUGUUUACUUAGAAAACAAAGAACAAAUUGGAAAAGUGGAUGAAAUAUUUGGACAACUUAGAGAUUUUUAUUUUUCAGUUAAGUUGUCAGAAAACAUGAAGGCUUCAUCCUUUAAAAAACUACAGAAGUUUUAUAUAGACCCAUAUAAGCUGCUGCCACUGCAGAGGUUUUUACCUCGACCUCCAGGUGAGAAAGGACCUCCAAGAGGUGGUGGCAGGGGAGGCCGAGGAGGAGGAAGAGGAGGAGGUGGCAGAGGUGGUGGCAGAGGCGGUAAGUUACUUGGGGAAAAUUUCUAAUGAAAUUAACUGUGACUUUCACAGCUAAUUCAUAUAAUACAAUUUAGCUUUG